UACGGGGGGGGCAAGCGUUGUUCGGAAUUACUGGGCGUAAAGGGCUCGUAGGCGGCCCACUAAGUCGGAUGUGAAAUCCCCAGGCUCAACCUGGGAACUGCAUCCGAUACUGGAUGGCUUGAAUUCGGGAGAGGGAUGCAGAAUUCCAGGUGUAGCGGUGAAAUGCGUAGAUAUCUGGAGGAAUACCGGUGGCGAAGGCGGCAUCCUGGACCGACAUUGACGCUGAGGAGCGAAAGCUAGGGGAGCAAACGGG
Molecule: ribosomal RNA, 253 nt
Filed under: uncultured bacterium
Lineage: Bacteria
Description: partial 16S ribosomal RNA
Rfam family: Bacterial small subunit ribosomal RNA
Source: RNAcentral